This 442-nucleotide ribosomal RNA is filed under the name uncultured prokaryote. Its description in RNAcentral is "bacterial SSU rRNA". It matches the Rfam family "Bacterial small subunit ribosomal RNA", at positions 355 to 796 of the family's 1533-position model. The record is from RNAcentral.
UAGGGAAUAUUGGGCAAUGGGCGAAAGCCUGACCCAGCCAUGCCGCGUGCAGGAAGACGGCUUUCGGGUUGUAAACUGCUUUUAUACGGGAAGAAAAAUACUUUGCGAAGUGUUAUGACGGUACCGUACGAAUAAGCACCGGCUAACUCCGUGCCAGCAGCCGCGGUAAUACGGAGGGUGCGAGCGUUGUCCGGAUUUAUUGGGUUUAAAGGGUACGUAGGCGGUAUAUUAAGUCAGUGGUGAAAUUCUACGGCUCAACUGUAGGCGUGCCAUUGAUACUGGUAUACUUGAGUGUUGUAAGGGUGGGCGGAAUUCCGCAUGUAGCGGUGAAAUGCAUAGAUAUGCGGAGGAACACCAAAAGCGAAGGCAGCCCACUAGGCAACAACUGACGCUGAGGUACGAAAGCGUGGGGAGCGAACAGGAUUAGAUACCCCCGUAGUCC